AACAUCUGGACAUCAGACAACUCUGUCACACAUGUGCAGGUGAAGGGCUACCUUUAUUUCUCAUAGUGCUGAUCUCUGCGGCUGCGUCUAGUUUUCUGUUGAUUGUAGCUGCAGUCAUUAGGAUCUUCUGGACUUGCAAGAAAUGUCGAAAAAAUGUCCAGAUACAGAAGGAAGACAGAAGUGAUUCAGCAUUGUGCAAACCAAAAACACGACAAAAG
Molecule: long non-coding RNA, 218 nt
Organism: Sinocyclocheilus grahami
Lineage: Eukaryota; Metazoa; Chordata; Actinopteri; Cypriniformes; Cyprinidae
Exons: 3
Source: RefSeq, a predicted model, not a curated record